GAGGGGAUGUUUAACUAACAAGAACUGCUAAUUCUUGCAUCUGAGCCUAAACCCUCAGUCCCCUUA
This 66-nucleotide transfer RNA is filed under the name Pardaliparus venustulus (Yellow-bellied tit). Its description in RNAcentral is "tRNA-Ser". Lineage: Eukaryota; Metazoa; Chordata; Aves; Passeriformes; Paridae. The record is from RNAcentral.